Molecule: ribosomal RNA, 254 nt
Filed under: uncultured bacterium
Lineage: Bacteria
Description: partial 16S ribosomal RNA
Rfam family: Archaeal small subunit ribosomal RNA
Source: RNAcentral
UACCGGCGGCUCGAGUGGUGGCCACUAUUACUGGGCUUAAAGCGUUCGUAGCUGGUUUGUUAAGUCUCUGGGGAAAUCUUCCGGCUUAACCGGAAGGCGUCUCAGGGAUACUGGCAGACUAGGGACCGGAAGAGGUGAGGGGUACUCCAGGGGUAGGAGUGAAAUCCUGUAAUCCUUGGGGGACCACCUGUGGCGAAGGCGCCUCACCAGGACGGCUCCGACAGUGAGGGACGAAAGCUGGGGGAGCAAACCGG